RNAcentral lists this unclassified non-coding RNA (456 nucleotides) under Hevea brasiliensis (rubber tree). Lineage: Eukaryota; Viridiplantae; Streptophyta; Magnoliopsida; Malpighiales; Euphorbiaceae. The record is from RNAcentral.
CUUGUAGCAAGAGCAAGGUAUCAGGAAGGAAGAGUAGAAGCUAGGACCCUUUUCUCUAUUCCAUCAGGGAAAUAUGCUGUUCUUUUCGUAUUUCAAGGACUUGGUUGGUAGGGAAGUGACAGUGGAGCUGAAGAACGAUUUGGCAAUCAGAGGAACGCUUCACUCUGUCGAUCAGUACCUCAAUAUCAAGCUCGAGAACACUAGGGUUGUCGAUCAAGACAAGUACCCUCACAUGCUUUCUGUCAGGAACUGUUUUAUAAGGGGAUCUGUGGUUAGAUAUGUUCAGUUGCCUCCAGAAGGUGUUGACAUUGAUUUGCUCCAUGAUGCAACAAGGAGAGAAGCUCGGGGUGGCUGAAAUUCAGUUGAAACUGUCUCACUUAUUUGGAUGAACAUCUGAUGUAGAUGUAGUUGUAGUUUAAACACAGCUGUUUUGACAUUCCAAAUGUUGUAUGUUUG